GCCCUCCUGUGGUGCUGUGGUUUAGUGCAUGUGGCUGUUAACCAAAAGGUUGGUGGUUUGAGCCCACCGAGGGACA
Non-coding RNA from Podarcis lilfordi (Lilford's wall lizard), 76 nucleotides. The record is from the annotation of a GenBank genome assembly. Lineage: Eukaryota; Metazoa; Chordata; Lepidosauria; Squamata; Lacertidae.